UCCGGUUCUAGCAGAGCCAACAUCUGAGAAAGAUAUAUGCCAGGUCAGACAGAUAGCUAACCUGCCUUUCAGAAAGUUCCUCCUCCUGGCUGUUUCAUUAGUUUGUGAGCUAAGAUUUUAUUAAAUGAAGACAUGAUGGAUGCACAGAUUAUAAAACACUUUGUAGUGAGAGGUCUAUCCAGUCUGCACUUCAAGGUCUCUUUCCUUUUAGCAUGAUGGGUUAUUUGUCACGUACCCAUAAAGUAGUCCACCAUAAAACACUUUUCAUUAGCAAUGGAGAAGAUUGAGAGGGGACCUCAUCAAUGUCCAUAAAUAUCUGAAGGGAAGAUGUCAAGAGGCUGGAGCCAGGCUCUCCUUGCUGAUGCCAAGCAACAGGACAAGAGGCAACAGGCAGAAACUGAUGCACAGGAAAUUUCACCUGAACAUGAGGAAGAACUUCUUUACUGUGUGGGUGACCAUGCACUGGAACAGAUUGUCCAGAGAGGGGGUGGAAGUCUCCCUCACUGGAGAUAUUCAAGAACUGUCUGGACACAAUUCUGUGCCAUGUGCUCUAGGAUGGCUCUGCUUCAGCAGGGAGGUUGGACCAGAUGCCCCACUACGGUCUCUUCCAACCUGACCCGUUCUGUGAUUCUGUGGUUCUGUGUCUCCCUUAGGUUACCAUUUCCAAUUUGUUCCCUGGUUGUCAGGUAGAGACUCUCCUUUCCCACUUAUUAUUUGCACAGAUGGCAAGUGCCCACACUGGACAGUGAGACAUGUUCAGUAUUCAUUUUUGGUGAGAGAAUUAUUUUCUUUAGUUUUACCUUCAGAACCAUAGGCCAUUUCCAAAUCCCAGGGAGCCUGGCAGAAGCUGGAUAAAGUGAGAUCUGCCUUCUGACUGUCUCUCUGACCCUAUGACACAGCAACAUCCAAGUGCCACAGCAGUGCAGGUCAAGUGGCUUUAGCGGCCAACUUACAGGUACAGUUUCCCCAGAUGCACCAGGAAAACAGCAAACACAAUGUGUUUCUGGUUGUGUGACCAGAAAUAGAUUUUUUCCAUAGGCCAAUUUAGGCUUUUUUGACUGUUUCAAG
This is a long non-coding RNA of Passer domesticus (house sparrow), 1068 nucleotides long. RefSeq lists it as uncharacterized. The record is from RefSeq and is a predicted model, not a curated record. The transcript is spliced from 3 exons. Lineage: Eukaryota; Metazoa; Chordata; Aves; Passeriformes; Passeridae.